RNAcentral lists this ribosomal RNA (483 nucleotides) under uncultured bacterium. RNAcentral describes it as "partial 16S ribosomal RNA". It matches the Rfam family "Bacterial small subunit ribosomal RNA", at positions 28 to 507 of the family's 1533-position model. The record is from RNAcentral.
GAUGAACGCUGGCGGCGUGCCUAACACAUGCAAGUCGAACGAAGCUUGACGGAUGAUUUCUUCGGAAUGAAACCAGAUAUGACUUAGUGGCGGACGGGUGAGUAACACGUGAGCAACCUGCCUUUCAGAGGGGGAUAACGGCUGGAAACGGUCGCUAAUACCGCAUGAUGUGUUCGGAUGGCAUCAUCUGAACAUCAAAGAUUUAUCGCUGAAAGAUGGGCUCGCGUCUGAUUAGAUAGUUGGUGGGGUAACGGCCUACCAAGUCUACGAUCAGUAGCCGGACUGAGAGGUUGAACGGCCACAUUGGGACUGGGAUACGGCCCAGACUCCUACGGGAGGCAGCAGUGGGGAAUAUUGCACAAUGGGGGAAACACUGAUGCAGCAACGCCGCGUGAAGGAUGACGGUUUUCGGAUUGUAAACUUCUUUUCUUAGUGACGAAGACAGUGACGGUAGCUAAGGAAUAAGCAUCGGCUAACUACGUG